RNAcentral lists this long non-coding RNA (494 nucleotides) under Malus domestica (apple). RNAcentral's name for it is "long non-coding RNA (MDOM_LNC008886)". Lineage: Eukaryota; Viridiplantae; Streptophyta; Magnoliopsida; Rosales; Rosaceae. The record is from RNAcentral.
GCCUUCAGAAACUUCAGCUAACUACCCUUACACCUCUCCACCACCACCGGCCUCUCCUCCCUACCAUUACAAGUCACCACCGCCUCCUUCUCCUUCUCCUCCAGUGCACUACUCACCACCUAAGCAUCCCUACCACCCUAAGUCACCACCACCUCCUGUGUACGCACCACCUAAGCAUCCCUACCACCCUAAGUCACCACCACCUCCUGUGUACCCACCACCUAAGCAUCCCUACCACCCCAAGUCACCACCACCAUCACCAAAGCCUUACCACUACAAAUCCCCACCACCACCUCCUGCUCCAGUGCACUCACCACCCCCACCUAAGGAGCCAUACCACUACAAGUCCCCACCACCACCACCCAAGAAGCCCUACCACUACAAAUCUCCCCCACCACCUCCUCCUCCAGUUCACUCACCACCACCACCCAAGGAGCCUUACCACUACAAAUCUCCACCACCACCACCCAAGAAACCUUACUAUUACAAGUCUC